AUUCACGGAGAGUUUGAUCCUGGCUCAGGACGAACGCUGGCGGCGUGCUUAACACAUGCAAGUCGAACGAUGAACCACUUCGGUGGGGAUUAGUGGCGAACGGGUGAGUAACACG
Molecule: ribosomal RNA, 115 nt
Filed under: Actinacidiphila alni
Lineage: Bacteria; Bacillati; Actinomycetota; Actinomycetes; Kitasatosporales; Streptomycetaceae
Description: Streptomyces alni 16S rRNA. Bacterial SSU
Rfam family: Bacterial small subunit ribosomal RNA
Source: RNAcentral